CCUACGGGAGGCAGCAGUGGGGAAUAUUGCACAAUGGGGGAAACCCUGAUGCAGCGACGCCGCGUGAGUGAAGAAGUAAUUAGUUAUGUAAAGCUCUAUCAGCAGGGAAGAAAAUGACGGUACCUGAGUAAGAAGCCCCGGCUAACUACGUGCCAGCAGCCGCGGUAAUACGUAGGGGGCAAGCGUUAUCCGGAUUUACUGGGUGUAAAGGGAGCGUAGACGGCAGUGCAAGUCUGGAGUGAAAGCCCAGGGCUCAACCCUGGGACUGCUGUUGAAACUGCCGGGCUGGAGUGCAGGAGAGGUAAGCGGAAUUCGUGGUGUAGCGGUGAAAUGCGUAGAGAGUAGGAGGAACACCAGUGGCGAAGGCGGCUUACUGGACUGUAACUGACGUUGAGGCUCGAAGGCGUGGGGAGCAAACAGGAUUAGAUACCCUGGUAGUC
Molecule: ribosomal RNA, 440 nt
Filed under: uncultured bacterium
Lineage: Bacteria
Description: partial 16S ribosomal RNA
Rfam family: Bacterial small subunit ribosomal RNA
Source: RNAcentral